This 115-nucleotide ribosomal RNA is filed under the name Propithecus coquereli (Coquerel's sifaka). Lineage: Eukaryota; Metazoa; Chordata; Mammalia; Primates; Indriidae. The record is from RNAcentral.
GUCUACAGCCAUACCCCACUGAAGGUGGCUGAUCUCGUCUGAUCUCGGAAGCUAAGCAGGGUCGGGCCUGGUUAGUACUUGGAUGGGAGAAGAUGUAACUAAGCAAUUGUAGAAA